AUUGAACGCUGGCGGCAGGCCUAACACAUGCAAGUCGAGCGGAUGAAGGGAGCUUGCUCCUGGAUUCAGCGGCGGACGGGUGAGUAAUGCCUAGGAAUCUGCCUGAUAGUGGGGGAUAACGUCCGGAAACGGGCGCUAAUACCGCAUACGUCCUGAGGUAGAAAGUGGGGGAUCUUCGGACCUCACGCUAUCAGAUGAGCCUAGGUCGGAUUAGCUAGUUGGUGGGGUAAAGGCCUACCAAGGCGACGAUCCGUAACUGGUCUGAGAGGAUGAUCAGUCACACUGGAACUGAGACACGGUCCAGACUCCUACGGGAGGCAGCAGUAGGGAAUCUUGGACAAUGGGCGAAAGCCUGAUCCAGCCAUGCCGCGUGUGUGAAGAAGGUCUUCGGAUUGUAAAGCACUUUAAGUUGGGAGGAAGGGCAGUAAGUUAAUACAUUGCUGUUUUGACGUUACCAACAGAAUAAGCACCGGCUAACUUCGUG
This 484-nucleotide ribosomal RNA is filed under the name uncultured bacterium. RNAcentral's name for it is "partial 16S ribosomal RNA". It matches the Rfam family "Bacterial small subunit ribosomal RNA", at positions 30 to 507 of the family's 1533-position model. The record is from RNAcentral.